AACCUAGGAGACAAACGUUAUCCGGAGUUACUGGGCGUAAAGGGCGUGUAGGUGGUUUCGUAAGUCUGGCGUGAAAUUUUUCGGCUUAACCGGGAAAGGUCGUCGGAUACUGCGGAGCUAGAGGACGGUAGAGGCGUGUGGAAUUCCGGGUGUAGUGGUGAAAUGCGUAGAGAUCCGGAGGAACACCAGUGGCGAAGGCGACACGCUGGGCCGUACCUGACACUGAUGCGCGACAGCAUGGGGAGCAAACAGG
Molecule: ribosomal RNA, 253 nt
Filed under: uncultured bacterium
Lineage: Bacteria
Description: partial 16S ribosomal RNA
Rfam family: Bacterial small subunit ribosomal RNA
Source: RNAcentral